RNAcentral lists this ribosomal RNA (253 nucleotides) under uncultured bacterium. RNAcentral's name for it is "partial 16S ribosomal RNA". It matches the Rfam family "Bacterial small subunit ribosomal RNA", at positions 524 to 776 of the family's 1533-position model. The record is from RNAcentral.
UACAGAGGGGGCAAGCGUUAUUCGGAAUUAUUGGGCGUAAAGGGCGCUUAGGCGGCCUGGCAAGUGGAAGGUGAAAUCCCUCGGCUUAACCGAGGAACUGCCUCCCAAACUGCUUGGCUUGAGACCAGGAGAGGUGAGUGGAAUUCCCAGUGUAGCGGUGAAAUGCGUAGAUAUUGGGAGGAACACCAGUGGCGAAGGCGGCUCACUGGACUGGUACUGACGCUGAGGCGCGAAAGCUAGGGGAGCAAACGGG